AAAUUCAAUUUUCCAAAAUAUAUUAUAACACCCAGUGCUUUUGACCCGCUAGUGGAGAGCAGCCUAUCCCUUUUGUGGAGAGUGGCUUAACCCACCACCUGCUCCCAUCACUCUCCAGGGGUGAAAAUAAUAGGACUGGGUUAGUUAAAGAAAAUAGAACAGGGGAUUUCUCCUUAAUUAAUCAUUCAUAUAGUGGUAUUUGUCACUUUAUUGUUUUUAUUUUCAGCAUUUCUUCUCAUGCAUGGACCAUGAAUUUAAGGCUUGAUUCUGAAAGUAGGCCUAUGUUCCUAUAUAUGCAGAGAACCCCCCAGAAAAUGAAAGCAGCACUAAGACAGGAGCAAGCUGAGGGCACAAGGGAGGGAGGACAGAUUCCUAAUAUGUUCCUAAUGUCUGGGGGCAGCUUUGCUCUAGUCUAAUUUGACCUCUAUUCAAAACCACUCAUAUGAACUAAUAAAUCCCCACUUUCUGCUCACUACAAUUGAAUUGGAGUUUCUGGCAAUUAUAUAUACAUAUAUAUAUAUAUAAUCACUGAUUCCUUCCGUAGGGAAUAGGGAAGGUUUAUGGCUUUGAUGGUAUUGCUUUGCAUCAUGGCUCUAGUUGUCAGUUGUGAAGUGUCUAUUUUUCUGAAAGGUGCAAAUUAAUUAUAAGAAAUCAUAUCUGAUUGAUUCCAUAUUCCCUGUAAAUUUUAGGAUGAUCCAAAAGCUCAUUAAAAUAAUUUAGAUACUAAAUAAUAAAAAUAGCAAUUCGUAUACUUCAAAAUCGCAAUUUCUUCUUGAUCUGGAAUAUUUCCAAGUUUGGGUUUCUAGUCUCAUUUACAUCCCUUUGAUCACCAUCAGCUCUUACUGAUCAUUUUCAUUUAGAAAAUUCAGCUUACCUCACUCAUUUCACAUCUUCAAACAUGCCUGUGGCCAUUUUUUCCCCAGUACUCUGAAAAGUAUGCUCUUUCCUCGACUUUGACUCCUUUUAAAUUCACAUUUUGUUUGCUCUGAGGCAACACAGACAGAUCUCAACUUCCCAUUUUCUAAAUUGUGCAGGAGCUUUUUGUACGGAUCCGUAUUACGCACAAUCUCAUGCUUGCUUUCCCAUUUAUCUCAGAUUUCCUUUUAGCUCCCAAUCCAUUUCAUGAUCCAGUUUAAAAUGCCUAUCUCUCUGAAACAUACAGAGAGAUGUGCAAUCUCAUUUAAUUUCACUCCCUAUUCAUCUGCCCCUUUGCACAAUGUUACAACGAUUGCUUAGAGGAGAACAUUGUCUGCCACUUCUAAUGAUAAUGUUCAGGGUCUUCUGUUGAAUCAGCAAUCUAUGUCACUUAAAAUUUAGUAUAAAGCAGUAUUUUCUAUGUUUCUUUAAAUAACGUCUUAUAUACAAUUUUAUUUAUAGCUUUAUAAAUUAAAUUAUAUACAGUUUUAUAAAUUAAAGACUAUAAUAUGCAAGUAUUAUGUAGUUUGCACAGUUAUAAUAUUGACUAUUUCUUAGUAUAUUUGCACUUCAAAUGAAAAUUUAUACAAUACACUUUCACAAUUCUCCAUAGUAAUGUCAGAGAAGACUUUGAUAUUAACCAACAAAUCAUUUCACACUUUAGCCAAUAUUAUUCGUGUAAUUCUUAGUGUCUUUGAUAGUUCUAAUUACAUUAAUUCAUAGAAAAUCAGCAUGCCUUUAAAUUGCUAGUACUUGUUUCCAUAGCUUUACAAAUACACUGCCUUUUGUGUAUUCAUUUUCUAUAAAAUAUGUUCACAUUUAUAAGAUUGCCCUAAAGUGAAAUUAGAAAAUUAGGUAGUAUAAAUGUGAAAUUGUUACAUAUUAAAUACUUAUGCACAGUUACAAAUGUAUUUCUGUUAAACAAACAUAAUUUUCUAUUAAAUGUCAACCCUAAGAGAACCUAUUAUCUUUUGCAGUAAUAGAUUUGAUGUUGAGAGGCGUGGUUCUAGUAAGGGACACCAACACAUCUCAGCCUCACCUGAUGGCAAAGGGAUGUCAUUAUAAUAAGAAAUGGGUGGGGAAAAAGUGUGAGAAGAAUUUAGAAGCCAACCUUCACUAACCCCACUCAGGUAAAACAGAUUAUUCUGAGACUGAAAGAUUCCUGGAAUAAUUGAAUAGUUAGGUACCAUUUUCCAUAAAAUGAAAAAAUCUGAAUGCUGAAUGCUGAAAUUUUAUAUUUCUUCUACCUCUCUGUUCUUUCAGAAUGCUCAAGAGAUACUUCACUCUCUAAGCAAGAGUUUGGAACACUCUUCAAUGAAAAAAUUGAUCAGCCAAGAAGAAAGACUCAAAUGUACUGAAAUGAGAAAUUACCAUCAAACAGUCCACUCAGAUCAGCCUACAGUAAAUUCAAAGGUUAUCAUGCUUCAUUCUGUGUUCAGAAUUCGAUGUCAGGCUUUUUAAAAUAUUUUUAUUCUUAAAUAUAAGAUAAAAUCAAGAAUUAUUAGCUAUGUGAGGAAAGGCUCUAAUCUGACAGAAAAAAAGCAAAAAUGAACAGAAAAGAAGCCA
This 2481-nucleotide long non-coding RNA is filed under the name Canis lupus familiaris (dog). Its description in RNAcentral is "lncRNA (ENSCAFG00000057930.1)". The record is from RNAcentral. Lineage: Eukaryota; Metazoa; Chordata; Mammalia; Carnivora; Canidae.